Cinara cedri is the source of this 248-nucleotide non-coding RNA. The record is from the annotation of a GenBank genome assembly. NCBI's taxonomy places the organism in Eukaryota, Metazoa, Arthropoda, Insecta, Hemiptera, Aphididae.
UUGUCCAUUCUCUUAGUUUUAGACGUUCAUAUUUUGACGUCAUUUUUUUUUACAAAGUCUUAAAUGGCACUAUUGAGGACAGUUUUCUUCUUAGUCAAAUUAAUUUAUCUGUUCCCACUUUUAACUCUAGAAACCGGCCAACCUUUCACAUUACUCAACACAAAACACUUUACAGUUAUUUUUCCCCUGUCGAUAGAGCAUUAGUCGCCUGUAAUAACUUUCAAAAUUAUUUUGAUAUUUUUCAUUCC